UGAUGAGGUAAUAGUUAUUCAUUGCUCUGUGUUUCUCGUGUAAAUAUUAUUUCUAAACUUUCACAAUACUUUAAAAGUUAAAACAUUAAUGCUGUAGGUAUAAGUGAUGUGUUGUUUUAAGUACUUUUUUAUGCACAAUUUUGUUAAGUAAGGAUUAGAGCGUCGAAUGUUUGAAAUGUUUGGUCAUAAUUACACAUGGAAUUUACGCAGGUAUCACUCCGCCAGAAAAGUAGAGACCUGUGUAUGUGUUUCAUGUUUCCAACAAAGGUAUCACUCCGCCAGAAAAGUAGAGACCUGUGUAUGUGUUUCAUGUUUCCAACAAAGGUGGCCAAUAAAGGAUGAAACGAC
This is a long non-coding RNA of Nerophis ophidion (straightnose pipefish), 348 nucleotides long. RefSeq lists it as uncharacterized. The record is from RefSeq and is a predicted model, not a curated record. Lineage: Eukaryota; Metazoa; Chordata; Actinopteri; Syngnathiformes; Syngnathidae. The transcript has 2 exons.